UAGGUUUCCUGCCUCCGGGCCUGGGGUC
Molecule: non-coding RNA, 28 nt
Filed under: Rattus norvegicus (Norway rat)
Lineage: Eukaryota; Metazoa; Chordata; Mammalia; Rodentia; Muridae
Source: RNAcentral